This 482-nucleotide ribosomal RNA is filed under the name uncultured bacterium. RNAcentral describes it as "bacterial SSU rRNA". It matches the Rfam family "Bacterial small subunit ribosomal RNA", at positions 35 to 507 of the family's 1533-position model. The record is from RNAcentral.
GCUGGCGGCAGGCCUAACACAUGCAAGUCGGGCGGUAACAGGGAGUGCUUGCACUUCGCUGACGAGCGGCGGACGGGUGAGUAAUGCAUAGGAAUCUGCCUGGUAGUGGGGGAUAGCCCAGAGAAAUUUGGAUUAAUACCGCAUACGCCCUACGGGGAAAGCUGGGGGGGCCUUCGGGCCUAGCGCUAUCAGAUGAGCCUAUGUCGGAUUAGCUUGUUGGUGAGGUAACGGCUCACCAAGGCGACGAUCCGUAGCUGGUCUGAGAGGAUGAUCAGCCACACUGGGACUGAGACACGGCCCAGACUCCUACGGGAGGCAGCAGAGGGGAAUAUUGGACAAUGGGCGCAAGCCUGAUCCAGCCAUGCCGCGUGUGUGAAGAAGGCCUUCGGGUUGUAAAGCACUUUCAGCGGGGAGGAAAGGAUGGUUGCUAAUAUCAGCCGUCUGUGACGUUACUCGCAGAAGAAGCACCGGCUAACUCCGUG